GGCGAACGGGUGAGUAAUGCAUCGGAACGUGCCCAGUCGUGGGGGAUAACGCAGCGAAAGCUGUGCUAAUACCGCAUACGAUCUACGGAUGAAAGCGGGGGAUCGCAAGACCUCGCGCGAUUGGAGCGGCCGAUAUCAGAUUAGGUUGUUGGUGGGGUAAAAGCCCACCAAGCCGACGAUCUGUAGCUGGUCUGAGAGGACGACCAGCCACACUGGAACUGAGACACGGUCCAGACUCCUACGGGAGGCAGCAGUGGGGAAUUUUGGACAAUGGGCGCAAGCCUGAUCCAGCAAUGCCGCGUGCAGGAUGAAGGCCUUCGGGUUGUAAACUGCUUUUGUACGGAACGAAACGGUCUACUCUAAUACAGUGGGCUAAUGACGGUACCGUAAGAAUAAGCACCGGCUAACUACGUGCCAGCAGCCGCGGUAAUACGUAGGGUGCGAGCGUUAAUCGGAAUUACUGGGCGUAAAGCGUGCGCAGGCGGUUAUAUAAGACAGAUGUGAAAUCCCCGGGCUCAACCUGGGACCUGCAUUUGUGACUGUAUAGCUAGAGUGCGGCAGAGGGGGAUGGAAUUCCGCGUGUAGCAGUGAAAUGCGUAGAUAUGCGGAGGAACACCGAUGGCGAAGGCAAUCCC
RNAcentral lists this ribosomal RNA (635 nucleotides) under uncultured Curvibacter sp. RNAcentral describes it as "bacterial SSU rRNA". It matches the Rfam family "Bacterial small subunit ribosomal RNA", at positions 97 to 728 of the family's 1533-position model. The record is from RNAcentral. Lineage: Bacteria; Pseudomonadati; Pseudomonadota; Betaproteobacteria; Burkholderiales; Comamonadaceae.